CACUUCCGUUUUCUAUCUCUUUUGUUUCAUCGGCUUACAACUUCCUUAAGCUGUGACAAUGAAUGUCAAUCAAUCAUCGAAAAUGUUUGUCCUACAUGUGACCGUUCCAGCACGUGUCGAUUAUGAUUCAGAACUGAUAGAAAAAAAGAAAGCAGUGAAUUUAUGAUACACAGAGAACAAGGAAAAGAAGAUCAAACAAAAGCGUACUCAGCUUCACCUCCAGGAAGACUAAAAGACACACAGAGCUUCAGACGCUUCCAAAAGCUUCAAGCAGAGAAUUCGCUAACCUAAAAAUAUUACAUCCUCUUGACUUACCUGUGAUGCUGGUUGGAGACAUUUUACUCGAGUUCAAACCCUUUUCCCUAAUCACCAACGGUAGAUAUUCCUGGAAAGUUACCGACCGUCUUUGCAAAAGGACAAAGAACGGUUAACAGAUGGAUUACUUAACUUCUGAAUAGUUCUUUCAAAAUACUUCUUUUGUCUUCUACUGUGAAAUUAAUCACCUGCGC
Molecule: long non-coding RNA, 509 nt
Organism: Argiope bruennichi
Lineage: Eukaryota; Metazoa; Arthropoda; Arachnida; Araneae; Araneidae
Exons: 3
Source: RefSeq, a predicted model, not a curated record